Molecule: unclassified non-coding RNA, 354 nt
Filed under: soil metagenome
Description: partial contains 5.8S ribosomal RNA, internal transcribed spacer 2, and large subunit ribosomal RNA
Rfam family: 5.8S ribosomal RNA (bases 1-120)
Source: RNAcentral
GAUGAAGAACGCAGCGAAAUGCGAUAAGUAAUGUGAAUUGCAGAAUUCCGUGAAUCAUCGAAUCUUUGAACGCAUAUUGCGCCCUCUGGCAUUCCGGGGGGCAUGCCUGUCCGAGCGUCAUUUCUGCCCUCCAGCCCGGCUGGGUGUUGGGCGCUGUCCCCCCGGGGACACGCCCCAAAGGCAGUGGCGGCGCCGCGUCGGGUCCUCGAGCGUAUGGGGCUUUGUCACCCGCUCGGGACGGACUCGUCGGCGCUGGUCUUCCUCCAGGCGACCCUUCGGGGCUCGUCUUCCUUCGGUUGACCUCGGAUCAGGUAGGGUUACCCGCUGAACUUAAGCAUAUCAAUAAGCGGAGGA